Molecule: ribosomal RNA, 366 nt
Filed under: uncultured bacterium
Lineage: Bacteria
Description: bacterial SSU rRNA
Rfam family: Bacterial small subunit ribosomal RNA
Source: RNAcentral
AACGAACGCUGGCGGCAGGCUUAACACAUGCAAGUCGAACGGGCGUAGCAACACGUCAGUGGCGGACGGGUGAGUAACACGUGGGAAUAUGCCUUUCGGUUCGGAACAACUCGGGGAAACCCGUGCUAAUUCCGGAUACGCCCUUACGGGAAAGAUUUAUCGCCGAAAGAUUAGCCCGCGUUGGAUUAGCUAGUUGGUGAGGUAAAGGCUCACCAAGGCGACGAUCCAUAGCUGGUUUGAGAGAACGACCAGCCACACUGGGACUGAGACACGGCCCAGACUCCUACGGGAGGCAGCAGUGGGAAUCUUGGACAAUGGGCGCAAGCCUGAUCCAGCCAUGCCGCGUGAGUGAUGAAGGCCUUGGUU